This 394-nucleotide ribosomal RNA is filed under the name uncultured bacterium. RNAcentral's name for it is "bacterial SSU rRNA". It matches the Rfam family "Bacterial small subunit ribosomal RNA", at positions 362 to 770 of the family's 1533-position model. The record is from RNAcentral.
UAUUGGACAAUGGGGGGAACCCUUAUCCAGCGACGCCGCGUGAGUGAAGAAGUAUUUCGGUAUGUAAAGCUCUAUCAGCAGGGAAGAANGAAAUGACGGUACCUGACUAAGAAGCCCCGGCUAACUACGUGCCAGUAGCCGCGGUAAUACGUAGGGGGCAAGCGUUAUCCGGAUUUACUGGGUGUAAAGGGAGCGUAGACGGCGAUGCAAGUCUGAAGUGAAAGGCGGGGGCACAACCCCCGGACUGCUUUGGAAACUGUAUGGCUGGAGUGCAGGAGAGGUAAGUGUAAUUCCUAGUGUAGCGGUGAAAUGCGUAGAUAGUAGGAGGAACACCAGCGGCGAAGGCGGCUUACUGGACUGUAACUGACGUUGAGGCUCGAAAGCGUGGGGAGCA